AUUGAACGCUGGCGGCAGGCCUAACACAUGCAAGUCGAGCUGAUGAAGGGAGCUUGUUCCUGGAUUCAGCGGCGGACGGGUGAGUAAUGCCUAGGAAUCUGCCUGGUAGUGGGGGAUAACGUCCGGAAACGGGCGCUAAUACCGCAUACGUCCUGAGGGAGAAAGUGGGGGAUCUUCGGACCCCACGCUAUCAGAUGAGCCUAGGUCGGAUUAGCUAGUUGGUGGGGUAAAGGCCUACCAAGGCGACGAUCCGUAACUGGUCUGAGAGGAUGAUCAGUCACACUGGAACUGAGACACGGUCCAGACUCCUACGGGAGGCAGCAGUGGGGAAUAUUGGACAAUGGGCGAAAGCCUGAUGCAGCCAUGCCGCGUGUGUGAAGAAGGUCUUCGGAUUGUAAAGCACUUUAAGUUGGGAGGAAGGGAAGUAAGUUAAUACCUUGCUGUUUUGACGUUACCAACAGAAUAAGCACCGGCUAACUUCGUG
Molecule: ribosomal RNA, 484 nt
Filed under: uncultured bacterium
Lineage: Bacteria
Description: partial 16S ribosomal RNA
Rfam family: Bacterial small subunit ribosomal RNA
Source: RNAcentral